UUCAGGUGAUGCCUCCCACUGAAGAGAACCUGCAGGAGCUGUGUAAGCCAGAACUGCUCCAGAGGCUUCUGAAGGUUGAAAGCCUGCCAAUACUCUGGCUGGUGCUCAGAUGCCUCGUAGUGCUGUCUGAUAGACCUGAGACGGCAAGAGAAAUACGGACCCUGCUUCCAGAAGUCAUGGAGACCCUGCGGUUUGCCAGCACACCCAUUACCCUGAAGGUGCUGAAUAUCUUCAGAAAUGCAAUGUACCAUCUGGGGAAGAGGCACGCCAGUCCCUUUGCUCUGGAGCUAGCUGAGAAGAUCCUGCCUCUUUUUAAUCAUGUGUCAUGUGAAGUGCGAGAAGGUUCCAUCCGCCUCUUCAAGGAUGUGAUGGAUGCUGUGGUGUGGCUUAAGAAGAGAAGCAUGAAGAAGACCGUGCGCAGGGGCCUGCUCCCUCUGCUCUUUCAGAUGAGUGACGAGACCCCGAGUGUAGCACAGGUACGAAUUUCAGACCUGACCAGUGUGCAGGCAGUGGUGUGCUGACAGCUCAGCUGUGAUCUGCAAUUGAGAGCAAGUUGAGCAAGCAUUCAGACACUGGGAUGUGUGUCUGUGUGUGUGGUGCCAUCAGACUGCAUCUGUUGUUCUGUAGGCAUCUUGGCAUGUCCUUGCGUAUUGUGCAACGUUCCUGAAGUGGAAGGAGCUCAAGCACCAGGCCUGGCACAGGGACAUAGCGGGGAUCAUGGAGUGUUUGCUGCAGCAGGACAGAAAGUUAGUGGAAGGAUACCUGUUGCAGAGCCUGCCAUACCUGGAGGAUUCUCAGGCCUCCUUGAGACAUGCGGCUGUCAGAUUCAUUGGGCUGACUGAGAAGUACUCCGGGGAACAGAGUGAGGAGAUGCUGAAUAAACUCUGCAGUGCCCUUCAGCCUUUGGAAAAUGACACCCAUCCGACAGUCCGCUCUGUGGCAUCUGAGACAAUCCAGAAGCUGACACAGCUAAGGCAGAAUGCGGCAUCAUCACAUUGCAGGCUCGCGGCACUUUUCCUGUCCUGCAUAGGCACCUGAAGGAUAGUUCUUGUACAGUAACGUUACUAGGACACUUUUACAGUAACGUUGCAAGGACACGCAUUCCUGUCAUGCAAGACAGACCCCCUGAACAACAGAAGGAGCCUAGGAGCACGGACAUCUCGAAACACAGUACAGGAAACAAGCUGGUUAGAACUGGGUCUGUAGUUAGUGACUGAUUAAGGUGCAAAGCACACCUGAAAGCCUUUACAAGGAAGACCUGGAGAAGACGUCUGCCCGUGACCGUUAGAGAGCAGCACACAUGCACGCAGAUUCAGAACGUAUCACAAUUUCCCUGACUUAAUUGGAACUCGCCGUAUGAGUUCUUGGAACUGUUUAAGCAAGCAGAAAAGUUAUGGUUUUCCUAGCUUUUGCAAAGCUGAAAUGUUGGGCAGCAAAGCUCCUGCUUGCUUAUAGUGCUGUGUGCCUGAGCAUAAGUAAGUGUCACGUGGAAAAAGACAAAAAAACAUAUUUUCUUCACCUACGUCUUGGAGACCCAGGAACCCAGACUUCAAGAUCUUUACUUCUGAGUUUACAUUUCAAAACCGGAUUAGAAAUGAUUCUGCAGACUUUGAUGACAUUUGACUCUUGCAAUAACAACAACACUACUGUUUCUACUACUACUACUAACAGCAACGCAACAACAAAAUAGUGGAAGAUGAAGGAAGGCACAGGGAGAAGAGUCACUUGAGGAAACUUCUCCUAUGAACUGAAUUGGUGUUAGGGUCCCUGUGCGCAAGAACCAAGGACGGAGCAAGCAUGUUUUGUCCUCUUCAGAAUGCAAUAUGGUUCUUCUUAUUGUCAUCAGAAUGAGACCGGGAUUUCACUGGAUUGUUGUGCUAAGCAAACACUUUAGUUUCACAGGUUUGGGACUUGAAGACCUGUCAAAGAACCUUUCAGACCUAAUUUCUAAGUGCAUAAAAACCCACUUGAAUUAGGAUUUAAUUAGGAUUAGGAUUUAUUCUUUCAAAUGGAACUUUACAUAAUGCUGAUUGUUCCUUUGUCUGUGAGGUAGGGAAAGAGGUAUUUCUACCACCAAGCUUAUCUGGCUUUUCUGUUUUGUUUUAUUUCCCGGAAAGGGGCCUGUAAAAUCUGAACCAUCAGUGAUUGCUAUCAGAGAGUAUAACGUGUUUAUAUCAGAGAAAGUGGGAAGUAGGUCAAAAGCAAGUAAUGCACUGUAAUCCCCAUUACAAAUAAUAAUAAGAAAUAGUAGUCAGUGCAACUCCCCAUCUAUAUUUUGCUGUUAAUCAGUGCUAUCCUGUUUGUGUUUUGGGUUUGUAUCUGCCUAAUCAGCUUUUGGUUGCAAGUUAAUAAAUUGUUGACCUGUAGCUAGAUUGAGGACAAAAAGGACUGCGUAUUUUUAACUAACAGAAGGCACAAAAUAUUAAUACUGUCCUUCACUCAGCCUUUCCCAGACAACACUCUUUGAAUGAAGACACACAGAAGAAUUUGUUGUUCAAGUUACAGAUACAUUAAGUUGGGAGGGCUUAAAGAAAGAGACAUCAUAUUUACAUUUUUUCAGCAAUUCUAGAACAUGACGUAAUCCUGUCAAAAUAACAGGAAAAAAAAAAUGAUUUGUGGAAGUGAAAGAAAAAAUUUAUUGUUGUGGAGGUAGUAGAUAAACAGGUUACAAAGGAGAGAUCUGCUGCACCUGUCUAAGACAUAGAGGUUAACCUAUAUUUUCAGUGGUUUCAGGACUUUGUCUCAUAUAUUAAUACUGGCAGAAAUAUAAUUAAAAAAUGGAAGUGGCACAAAGAUUAGUUGACAAACUGUAAUAUAACUCAGAGUCCCCUAUUUUCCCCUACAGAGAAAAAUGAAAGAUUGCCAAGCAAAAAAAUAAAAUA
Molecule: non-coding RNA, 2882 nt
Organism: Coturnix japonica (Japanese quail)
Lineage: Eukaryota; Metazoa; Chordata; Aves; Galliformes; Phasianidae
Source: RefSeq, a predicted model, not a curated record